This 893-nucleotide long non-coding RNA is filed under the name Rattus norvegicus (Norway rat). Its description in RNAcentral is "long non-coding RNA NONRATT004994". Lineage: Eukaryota; Metazoa; Chordata; Mammalia; Rodentia; Muridae. The record is from RNAcentral.
CAAUUUUAGAAGGCCUUGAGGAUAGAAAAGAUGACUACAUCUACUCUGAACUCACCUACUAAAGUGCGAAGAAACUGACUGUAUCCUAAUAUAAGAGACUUUCCAGUAAGCUGAUGCUUACGAAGAAACAGGAAAUUCACCUGGCACUUCAGAGUUUCAUCCUAGGCUGGGGCAGAAGGAUCCUGAGUUCAAGGCCAGCUGGCACUACAUAGCAAGACCCUGUCUUAAAACACAAAGAUCAAAAAAGAUUUAACCUGGUCACCGAAAGUGAAUGUAUUUUUCACAUCUGGACACUAUUAUUCCUUUGGCUAACUUGGGCAUCUAAUCUUGUCACCAAAGUAGCCAGGCUUGAUAAGGGUUAAAAAAUACUUCGGUUUUGUGGCCUUCAGCCGUUCUCACUUUCCAACCCAAUUUUAAAUGGAAUUAUCCUGGGGCUGCAGAAGUGGCUCAGCAGCUAAGAGCAGACACUGCUCUCCCAAAGGAUGGGAGUUUGAGCCCAGAGUCUACAUCCCAUAACUCACAGUUGCCAAUAACAUUGUUUCCGAAGGAUCCAUCGCCCUCUUCUGGCACCUGCAGGCACUACACUCAUGUGCACAGACACACCUAAACGCAUAAUUAAGUAAGUUGGGGCUGGAGAGAUGGCUCAGUGGUUAAGAGCACUGACUGCUCUUCCAGAGGUCCUGAGUUCAAUACCCAGCAACCACAUGGUGGCUCACAAACAUCUAUAAUGGGAUCCGAUGCCCUCUUCUGCUGUGUCUGAAGACAGCUAUAGUGUACUUAUGUACAUAAAAUAAAUAAAUCUUUAAAAUAAAUAAAUAAGUCUAUGGGCAUACCACCCUGAACAUGCCCAAGCUCAUCUAGAAGUAAAUAAUAAAAUAAAAAAGUUAAUCUUA